This 204-nucleotide long non-coding RNA is filed under the name Hordeum vulgare. RNAcentral's name for it is "long non-coding RNA (HVUL_LNC010762)". Lineage: Eukaryota; Viridiplantae; Streptophyta; Magnoliopsida; Poales; Poaceae. The record is from RNAcentral.
UGACUGCGAUAUGCAAAAGAACACUAGUAAUGGUAGUAUUUACUUACAGCUGAGAUAUAUCAUGUUCAGUGAUCAGUAGCUUAUGCAGGGUUUCUUUUAGCCUCUGCUGUUAUCCCGUGUUAUGUUUCGGUACACUGUAUGUUGGGAAUUGUAAAUUUUCCAUUGCAUGAAUUGUGAACGAAUUGAAUGUGUUCUGAACAUGAU